AAAGAAUAAAAAAGUUUACUCAUAUAUUUUGGAGAUAUGGUCCAAUAGUUUCUACGUCUUUGCCUUAAAUAAAGACGCUAUGGGUAGAACUUAUAC
This 96-nucleotide non-coding RNA is filed under the name uncultured Cetobacterium sp. Its description in RNAcentral is "Purine riboswitch". It matches the Rfam family "Purine riboswitch aptamer". Rfam says of the family: Riboswitches are metabolite binding domains within certain messenger RNAs that serve as precision sensors for their corresponding targets. Allosteric rearrangement of mRNA structure is mediated by ligand binding, and this results in modulation of gene expression. A class of riboswitches that selectively recognises guanine and becomes saturated at concentrations as low as 5 nM. Lineage: Bacteria; Fusobacteriati; Fusobacteriota; Fusobacteriia; Fusobacteriales; Fusobacteriaceae. The record is from RNAcentral.